UCCUCGUUAGUAUAGUGGUGAGUAUCCCGCCUGUCACACGGGAGACCGGGGGUUCAAAUUCUCGACGGGAG
Non-coding RNA from Gymnothorax javanicus (giant moray), 71 nucleotides. NCBI's taxonomy places the organism in Eukaryota, Metazoa, Chordata, Actinopteri, Anguilliformes, Muraenidae. The record is from the annotation of a GenBank genome assembly.